RNAcentral lists this ribosomal RNA (406 nucleotides) under uncultured bacterium. RNAcentral's name for it is "partial 16S ribosomal RNA". It matches the Rfam family "Bacterial small subunit ribosomal RNA", at positions 30 to 526 of the family's 1533-position model. The record is from RNAcentral.
AUUGUACGCUGGCGGCAGGCCUAACACAUGCUAGUCGAACGAGUGGCGGACUGGUGAGUUAUGGCUGGGACACUGCCCGAUGGAGGGGGAUCACUACUGGAAACGGUAGCUAUUACCGCCUCCCAUCGUCUGUGCCCCGAUGGGAUGCGCUAGUAGGUGGGGUAACGGCUCACCUCGGCGACUAUCCCUAGCUGGUCUGAGAGGAUGACCAGCCACACGGGACCUGAGACACGGUCCAGACUCAUACGGGAGGCAGCAGUGGGGAAUAUUUCACAAUGGGCGCAAGCCUGAUGCAGCCAUGACGCGGGUAGGAAGGAGGACUUCGGGUUGUAAAAUACUUUCAGCGAGGAGGCGUUACUCGCAGAAGAAGCAACGGCUAACUCGGUGCCAGCAGCCGCGGUAAUAC